This 4352-nucleotide long non-coding RNA is filed under the name Lactuca sativa (garden lettuce). Its description in RNAcentral is "long non-coding RNA (LSAT_LNC006216)". The record is from RNAcentral. Lineage: Eukaryota; Viridiplantae; Streptophyta; Magnoliopsida; Asterales; Asteraceae.
AUUAUAGAAUCAAAAUAUUUCAUCCCAUUCAUCUUUUUGGCUAAUUCUUAACUAAAAACAUAUAUUUUUUUUCUUCAUGUGUUUAGCUUCUGAGUGAGGAGGAGUGUCAUCGGAUAUUAAGUCCUUACAAGAAAGUUGUUGAGUGGAUGGAAGGUACAAAGAAGGCAACUGCACCUCAUUUUGAUGAAGUUCAUGAGUUUCUCUUUAAAGCCCAGAAAAGAUUUCGAGAGCAGACAUCAAAAAAAGAAUCUGGGAAAAACGAAUUUAAGUCAAAGCUGUAAAAUCAAACAUAAUCUUCGAAAGUCGUUUGAUUUCUGUAUAAUGUUGCUAUAUGAAGUGUAUUAAGUUGAAAUAAACCAUUACAGAGAUUAUGUAAUGUAAUCAUCGUUACAUUUUAAUUACCUGGAUUUCAUAUAAAGUAUAUGGAUCAAUGGUAUUAUUGUACAAGUAAGUAGUCAACGCAUUAAAUACUAAUUUAAACUCAUGCUGACGAUUGCGUUGUUAAUCAUAAAGAGGUGAAAUAUUGUUUAUUUGAGUUGAAAUUUUUUACAACUCCCAAGAUUAACAUGGUGCUGAAGGUCUUUGCUGAUCGGAUUUCCCAACCAUCUCGUGCAAUUCUCAUCUUCUGCAAGUAUAUUUAUUAUCUUCUUCCUCGUUUCGUUAGUUUAGUAAAUUACUUACAAAUUCCUUCUCUUUGAUCGGAUUGUAAAUAAAUACCAACCGCUUUGGUCAUUGACUUGUGAUCGACUGCAAGUAUUGAUCUUUAAUAGGGUUCGCUGGCUGUUGAAUUGAAUUUGUCCUUCCAAUUCUAUACUCGAGGGUUUCUUUCAUCAGCAAGGAUUCUAUUAAUCUGUACAAAUUGAGUUGCUUUUCUAUUAGUAUUACUGUUAAAGCGAUCUUUAUGUUCUACUUUGUCUUUUACUUUGGGUUUAUUGUUAAAUUGAUACUUAAUAAUCCUAUAUUAGCGUUGUGUUAUGUGUUUCUUUUUAUGCACAACUUAUAUUCUCUCUGAUUAUGCUUCUCUAAAUUCAUCAUUCUUGUGGCUUUUAUCGAUGUUAUCUGAAGAAAAAAUGGGAUAGAUUUUGAGGAAAUCCGAGUAGAUGUCUUCAAAAACCAGCAAUUCACCCCUGAAUACAAAGGUCUGUUUGAUACCAUCUGCACUGAUUUUGUAUCAAAUCCUCUGCAUAUUUAGUCAACAUCUACCAAUGGCAAAGUAUAAGGUUACGUAUUGAUAUUAUUACUAAAAGAAUGUAAAUACAUUGCUCUUUUAUGCAGCAAUAAAUCCUAUGUCUCAAGUUCCAGCAAUAGUUAAUGGACGUUUCAAGCUGUUUGAAAGGUUGUUUCUGUUUAUGAAUUAAAAGUCCUUAUUCUAUUUGGACUCAUUUAUUUUAUGCUGUAAAUAAACUCGUUUGUUUCACUUUAACAAUGUGAAAUGUUGUGAUUUUCAGUCAUGCAAUUCUUAUCUACUUAUCUUGUGCAUUUCCAGGAGUUGCUAGUCAUUGGUAAAUCAGUUUUUUUCUCCUUCUGUAUCUUGAUACAAAUUCUAAACUUUAUUUUAAAUGAUUAUUAACUUAUUAGAUGAAUAGGUAUCCUGGUGAUGUAUCCAAAAGAGCUAAAAUCCAUUCUGUUUUGGAUUGGCAUCAUUCCAAUUUACGCCGUGGGACAGGUGAUAUGUAGUUUAUUUAUUUAUUUUUAAAAAAUAUAUUUUAACCUAAAUCAUAACAUUUUAAACAACAGAUUUAUCGGACAAUGAUCUUAUCAUAUAUGCUCCUUUUCUACUUUCAGUUGGACUUGUUUUCAACACUAUCUUGGCACCACAAAUUGGCCUCCCUUCAAACCUUCAAACAGCCAAGGAAUCCGAGAAGUUACUCAUGAAAUCGCUGACUAAAUUAGAAAACUUUUGGCUAAAAGAUGGAAGCUUUUUGGUUGGAAGUUCUCAACUAUCAAUAGCAGAUCUUAGUUUAGUAUGUGAAAUCAUGCAACUUGAGGUAAUCAUAUAUUGUAGAGUCAAAAUAUUUCAUCACGUUCAUCUUUUUGGCUAAUUCUUAACUAAAAACAUAAAUUUUUUCAUGUGUUUAGCUUCUGAGUGAGACAGAUUGUAAUCGGAUAUUAAGCCCUUACAAGAAAGUUGUUCAGUGGAUGGCAGAUACAAAGAAGGCAACUGCACCUCAUUUUGAUGAAGUUCAUGAGUUUCUCUUUAAAGCCCAGAAAAGAUUUCGAGAGCAGACAUCAAAAGAAUCUGAGAAAGAUGAAUUGAAGUCCAAGUUGUAAAAUUAAACAUAAUCUUUAUCUUGGUAAAGACUAAAAUCGUUUUAUUUCUGUAUAAUUAAUUCACCACGUAAUGUUGUUAUGUGAACUGUAUUAAGUUGAAAUAAACCAUUAAUGAGAGAUUAUGUAAUGUAAUCAUCGUUACAUUUUAAUUACCUGGAUUUCAUAUAAAGUAUCGAAGAAUACAGGUGAUGGUGUUAUAUAUUCCUACACUUUUUCCUAACCCACAUUUGAUAAAAAUAAGAAUAAAAAAAAGUGAUGUUAUUUUAGGUUUAGGAGAAUACAUUAUUAGUAUCGUACAAGUGGUGUGGAGCAUUAAAUACUAAUUUAAACUCAUGCUGACGAUUACUUUGUUAAUCAUAAAGAGGUGAAAGAUUGUUUAUUGGAGUUGAAAUUUUUUGCAACUCCGAAGAUUCAGUCUGUGCUCGAAAAACAUGGCGCUGAAGGUAUAUGCUGAUCGGAUGUCCCAACCAUCUCGUGCAGUUCUCAUCUUCUGCAAGUAUGUUAAUUAUCUUCUUCCUCGUUUCCAUAAUUUAGUAAAUUACUUACAAAUUCAUGCUUUUUGAUCGGAUUCUAAAUAAAUACCAACCGCUUUUGUGAUCGACUGCAAGUAUUGAAGCGAUUACUUGAUUGCUCAGGCUUACUGUGAUCUUUAAUCGGAUUCUCUGGUUGUUGAAUUGAAAUUCGUCCUUCAAAGGAUAAACCCCUUUUCUAUUAAUCUGUGCAAAUUGAGUUGGUUUAUUGUUAAAUUGAUACUUAAUCCUAUUCGGGUUGUGUUUUGUGUUUCUUUUUAUGCACAAGUUAUAUUCUAUCUGAUUAUGCUUGUCUAAAUUCAUCAUUCUUAUUAUGGCUUUUUCCGAAGAAAAAAUGGGAUAGAUUUUGAGGAAAUCCGAGUAGAUGUCUUGAGGAACGAGCAAUUCACCCCUGAAUACAAAGGUAAUUGUUUCUGAUUUUGUAUCAAAUCCUGCAUAUUUAGUCAAAAAAGUAGACAUAUUGAUAUUAUUACUAAAAGAAUGUAAAUACAUUGCUCUUAUUUUAAUUUUUAUGCAGCAAUAAAUCCAAUGUCUCAAGUUCCAGCAAUAGUUGAUGGAGGUUUCAAGCUGUUUGAAAGGUUGUUUCUGUUUAUGAUUUGAAAGUCCUUAUUCUAUUUGGAUUCAUUUAUUUUAUGCUGUAAAUAAACUCAAAAUGUUGUGAUUUUCAGUCAUGCGAUUCUUAUCUACUUAUCUUGUGCAUUUCCAGGAGUAGCUAGUCAUUGGUGAGUCAGUUCCAUAUUUUCAUACAAAUUCUUAACUUUNCCAAAGUUGUUGGGUUUGUGUUUUUCCUUUUGAUUUGUUUUAAAUAAAUAAAUAAAUAAACAAACACCACACACACACACACACACACACACACACACACAUAUAUAUAUAUAUAUAUAUAUAUAUAUAUAUAUAAAGAUUAUAAGGUUAUUAACUUAUUAGAUGUAUAGGUAUCCUGGUGAUUUAACCCUAAGAGCUAAAAUCCAUUCUGUUUUGGAUUGGCAUCAUUCAAAUUUACGCCGAGGGACAGGUGAUAAUUAUAUGUUGUUUUUAUUUUUUAUUUUUAUUUUUAAACAACAGAUUUGUUGGAGAAUGAUCUUAUCAUAUAUCAUACUUUUCUACUUUCAGUUGGACUUGUUUUCAACACUAUCUUGGCACCAUUAUUUGGCCUCCCUUCAAAUCUUCAAACAGCCAAGGAAUCUGAGAAGUUACUCAUGAAAUCUUUGAAUAAAUUAGAAACUUUUUGGCUAAAAGAUGGAAGCUUUUUGGUUGGAAGCUCUCAACCAUCAAUAGCAGAUCUAAGUUUAGUAUGUGAAAUCAUGCAACUUCAGGUAACCAUAUUAAAUCAAAGUAGUAGUAUUUCAUUACAUUCAUCCUUUUGGUUAAUCCUUAAUUAAAAUAUAUAUAUAUAUAUAUAUAUAUAUAUAUAUAUAUAUAUUAUGUGUUUAGCUUCUGAGUGAGACGGAUUGUAAUCGGAUAUUAAGCCCUUACAAGAGAGUUGUUGAGUGGAUGGAAGAUACAAAGAAAGCAACUGCACCUCAUUUUGAUGAAGUUCAUGAGUUUCUCUUU